Molecule: transfer RNA, 72 nt
Organism: Bodo saltans
Lineage: Eukaryota; Euglenozoa; Kinetoplastea; Eubodonida; Bodonidae
Rfam family: tRNA
About the family: Transfer RNA (tRNA) molecules are approximately 80 nucleotides in length.
Source: Rfam
GUCCGAGUGGCUCAACGGAAGAGCACCUGACUACGGAUCAGGGGGUUGCAGGUUCGAAUCCUGUCUCGGAUG